Paramuricea clavata is the source of this 4477-nucleotide non-coding RNA. Lineage: Eukaryota; Metazoa; Cnidaria; Anthozoa; Malacalcyonacea; Plexauridae. The record is from the annotation of a GenBank genome assembly.
GGACAGCAUGCGAGGCAAGUUUGAAGCUGGGCGUGCAUUUUUGUACAAGUUGUGAACGACGUGUGAAGUCUAAAACUUCAAGAAUAUAAAGAAUCUUCUCAUACAACUGCAAGAAUAAAGAAUCUUCUCAUAAAACUGCUACGAUAGAAGAAUUUACUGGCGAAAAAUGUAUGUAUAAAGGUAAUUCAAACCGAGUAUUUGAUUCAAACUAACGGCUUUUGCGAUUGCCGAUCGGCGGUCGGUUGAAACCAGUUUUAUUUGAAAUUUUACUGCUAAAUGUUAUCAGUUUUGAUUCAAUUUUCAGCCUUCAUGGCUCAUGCAGUACUUUCAGGUAGCUAAUAUGUUUGUAUUUCCUUUAUUUUAGAACGAAAUUGUCCAACGAAAUUGUCGAGAAAUUUUUGUACAGGUACAUUGAUCAUUGUAUGCAUUAAGAUGGAUUCAGCUUUUGAGUUUUGUAUUAAUCUAUUUAAGAUAAAACGUUCCUUCAGGAUUAAUAAGUAUUUAGAGACUGGUUGACUCGGAUUUUAACAAAUUUUUACCCGAGAAAUGUGGCCAUUUGUCUGCGUUCUGAACACGUGUUCGGCAGCACAACUUGCAGAUACUGAAAUAAUUUGAUGCAUGCAUGGUUGUACUUCAUCCCGAAGUUUGAAAGCUACAAAUUGCGCGUGUGAUUUGUCAUUGCUUUCGCGUGAAAAUUUUAACGUGUUACCUUUAUUUUCUAGGCCUUAAAGCAAAACUGCAAUCGGCCAGUAAAUGUGCGACAACAGGUGAAUAUACUUUUAAUAUAUAGAUGGGUUUUGGAGAUGGAAUAUUCGAAGGUAGAUUUAUACCUAAUGGGCGCAGUUGUGAAAAAUACAACUUCAAGCCCUCUGGAGUGAUCGCGACGUGUGGCUCUGCGAUUUCGGUACAGCGAUCUAACCGACUGAGCUUCCGAGUCCAGUAGCUGAGACCUAUAUUCCUAUGAACUUUACUGUUCAAAUGCUAAGCAUUUUGCCAUCUCGUUUGAUAGAUCAAAAACUAUUUUAACCGAAAACAUGCACAGACCCUUUUAUGAAUGGUGAACAGGCUUCUCCUUCGUACGACAGCCCCAUCCCACAGUGUGAGCUCUGUGCUUCAGGUGUGUUGAUAAAUGUAGAUAAGUCAAUGGCAUUAAAAUUAUUGCUUUCCUUACCAUGCAUGGUUGCAUUUUCUUAUUUUUUAGAAAAAAAUUGCCAUAUACAGAGAAAGAUGACUUCGUCUUUGGGACUUCAGGAUAAAAACCAACGGUAUGUUCCUAGUUAUUUUGCCUUAUUGACCGGUUUUUAAUAUUAUCCAGAUAGGAUAAAAACGACUCUUGUACACACAAUUAUAUUUAUAAUAACUAAAUGUUAAGCUAUCUUUAAAAGCGAUCAAAUUGUUUUAAUAGGCUUUUUCAUAUAAUGAGUAGAAAUGAUAUUCAGCUUUUGUAUUGGCCUAUUGCUUUUAAUGUCGAGAUAAAACAUCUGGUGCUUACGUAAAGGACUACUGAGUUAACAUGAACCGAAGACGAAGCGCGUAUAAAACGAACGUAUAUUCAGUUAUGUAAGUUUGCAAACGUAAGAAUUUAGCCGUUGACGCUUUUAUUUGUUUUUGAAAACUGAAAAUCGCGUCCAAGAGGUGUAAAAUCAAGAUUGUAUGCAUGUGCACUAUAAACAAAAAGAAGUGUUUUCGUGUAUAAGUGACGGUCUUUUCACGUCCGAAGUGAAGAUCUGCAUGUUGAUUUUCUCGCAAAUUCAUUUCAAUUUGCUUAGUUGACCUGCAUCGCACAUGAUUUUUAAUUUUUGACGCGAGAAUGUGCGUAGUUUUUUAUGCAAAUUUUGAAGUUUACAAUUACGUUAAUUCGCCUUGCUUGAAAGCAGUUAUACAAUACACAUUGUAGAAGACAGUUUUUGUACGAAUAUAUUCUACCAACGAAUAGAGUAGAGGCAGCCAAUAGGGAAUGAACGAUUGUUUCGUUUCGAGGCUAUUCGUUCGUUUACGUCCUUCGGUGCAUAACUGAAUACUUGAAGCUAUUCUAUAGUGAAGGGGACCGCGUUUGGCAACGUUUUGGAUUUCGCUCGUGAAAUUUGUCAAUGCUUUCGAGUGUCGGAAAAUUUUAAUGUGUUAACUAUUUUCUAGGAUUGAAAGCAAACCUGCAAAAUACCACCACGUGCAAGACGACAGGUGAAUACUUUUAAUAUAUAGAUGGGUUUUGAAGAUGAAUAUUCGAACGUAAAUUUAUAUACAUAGUCAUGCGGCACUGCGAUUCCGGUGCAGAGAUCUAACUGACUAAGCUUUCAGAGUCCAGUAGUUGCUGAGAGUCUAUAUUACUAUAAACUGUAUUGUUCAAAUGCUAAGCAGUUGGGCAUUUCGUUUGAUAGACCAACCGGCACUAUUUAAGGUGAAAAGGUUUCAUACAACGCCCUUGUCCCUACGCCAUUUUCUUACCAAGUUUGCAUUUUCUAAUUUUUAGAAAAAAAUCACCAUAUCCAGAGAAAGAAGACUUUCCUAAAUGAGAAACUUGGAAGACUUUUGAGGACAAAUUUGGUGAACUUCGGCCUUUCCUAAAUGCAUACAAAUGCAAAAAUUACAAAAUAAUAAAUACGGAAUUUCAUCGUACUUUUUCAUCACAAAAUGCAUGAACUGGAAGAUGCUGGUAAUGUUCGACUGUGGUGCUAAUUUUCACGGGUGGCAAUUGUGUGUGCGUGCGGGAUGGCGCCGUCCUUCACGUACUUCCUUCGGGCCAAUUGACAUGCGCGGGGAAUUAACAUUAUAGCCAGACGUUCGACGUAUGUUACAGUUAUUAACAAGGUUGGCACUAAUUUUCAGACCUUGCUAUACGCUCAAGUCCAAACUAAGUAUGUGUCAACAAUCUAGUUUUGUUUAGGCUUUAUAACACUCUACUGUUUAUCUUGCUUGAAUUUUCAUUUUUUUUGGAUUACAGUCUAGUUGAACCAACCCUGUUAUUGAAUUUAACUGACUGUUUCGAAUAAUGAGCAAAUACAACUGAUUUAUGGGCCCGUCUUUUGAAUUUUCUGUAUGUUCGAAACAAUAGCUAGGUAGAAUUGUGUGACUUUCCGGACACUAAAACAUAGGAGUGAGAAAUGACAGUUGCAAUGAGUUACAGAAGAGUGUUAUUGUCUGUAUCUAUAUACUGGUUUCCAGGCCUUGCUUUAUGCUAACGGUCUUGCACUCGUUUCCAGAGUGAGAAAAUGCAUGCAUGAUAUUGCAAGUCAAUACUAAAUGAUUCGGCUAUAAGGGAUGAGUUAAUUGUUCGCGAUUCAGUGUUCUUAGUCGUGCGGAUUUCAUGUUUGAUAUUCGUGUUGUGUUAGGGGAUACUCGGGUGGCUGAUCAUUGCUCAAAGGGAAGGUAUCUUAGGGGAAGGAGAGCCUCAUUUGUAGUUCGCUACAAUUGUGGAACCGGCCUCUCUUCUCAUGGCAUCCUCCGGGAGUUUGUUAUAACAUCCUUGGUCUAACAUCCUUGUUAGAACAGCUUGUUAGCAGGCUUGAUCGGUUUAACCUUGGUAGUUUAUAAUCACGCGGUCUCUGAGGCGAUGGUACACAACAGUCCCAAUUAAGGGUGAAGGUGCUGUUAAAUAGCUGACGAUAGAGAUAGGUUGUAACUUCUAGCGUAAUUCGGAUGAUGAACAUUGAAUUCCUUGCACUCAUUCACUAAAACACUGUUGACUGGGCAACUAAUACAUUCCAAUAACAACAAUUUGCAAAAAAUCCUAGGAAAUUUUGUAUUUGCAUGCUACAUGGAAUGCCUUUCGCAACCAAUAUUUGCCACAUGUAAUAUGAAAUGGAGGUAAAGAUGAUGCAACGAAGGCUAGCUCUGAAUACAAUGAAGUUAAAAUAAUAUGGAGACACAAAAGUUGAUGCAAAAUGCUGAUUGACUAUGUUAUCAAAUGGAUAUAGCAACUUAUCUACCUUUUCUGGAUUAACCUGUGCAAUAAACUGUCUUGGUAUGGAUUCAACUGUGUAAUAAACUUGUUAUGGAUUAACCUGCAUCAUAAAACUGUAACUAUAGGCCAUGCUUACAUGAUUCAUUUUUGGUACGACACGCUUAAAUUUUGGACGCGAUCAACGUUUUUUGGCCAGGCCUAUUGCGUUUAUACGACAACAAAUAAAGGUUUAUGCGCUCAAAAAUAUGAUUGGUUUGCAUGCCUCAAUUUAUGUGUGUCGUGCCAAAAAUGAACGUAAAAAGUAAACAGGUCUUGUGUUGUCAGCAGAAGUCAACUGGACAUAGCAACGUAGCAGCAGAUUGACCAGCGUUCAGUAGCUUGGAACUUACUGGAUUAACUUGUGCAAUAAACUGUCUUAUGCAUCGAUUAACCUGUACUGGUUUAACAUGAAUCAUAAAACCUCCAUCAAAUUGCAUUACAAGCUGCCCUUUGAACUCUUGACGUGCACAUGGAAACUGAAAAAGACGUUAACAUGGACUGGAGAUACUAAACUGAAAAUAGCCAUAUAGUAUUGUA